CUGAGACACGGCCCAGACUCCUACGGGAGGCAGCAGUGGGGAAUAUUGCACAAUGGGCGAAAGCCUGAUGCAGCGACGCCGCGUGAGGGAUGACGGCCUUCGGGUUGUAAACCUCUUUCAGCAGGGAAGAAGCGAAAGUGACGGUACCUGCAGAAGAAGCGCCGGCUAACUACGUGCCAGCAGCCGCGGUAAUACGUAGGGCGCAAGCGUUGUCCGGAAUUAUUGGGCGUAAAGAGCUCGUAGGCGGCUUGUCACGUCGAUUGUGAAAGCUCGGGGCUUAACCCCGAGUCUGCAGUCGAUACGGGCUAGCUAGAGUGUGGUAGGGGAGAUCGGAAUUCCUGGUGUAGCGGUGAAAUGCGCAGAUAUCAGGAGGAACACCGGUGGCGAAGGCGGAUCUCUGGGCCAUUACUGACGCUGAGGAGCGAAAGCGUGGGGAGCGAACAGGAUUAGAUACCCUGGUAGUCCACGCCGUAAACGGUGGGAACUAGGUGUUGGCGACAUUCCACGUCGUCGGUGCCGCAGCUAACGCAUUAAGUUCCCCGCCUGGGGAGUACGGCCGCAAGGCUAAAACUCAAAGGAAUUGACGGGGGCCCGCACAAGCAGCGGAGCAUGUGGCUUAAUUCGACGCAACGCGAAGAACCUUACCAAGGCUUGACAUACACCGGAAAGCAUUAGAGAUAGUGCCCCCCUUGUGGUCGGUGUACAGGUGGUGCAUGGCUGUCGUCAGCUCGUGUCGUGAGAUGUUGGGUUAAGUCCCGCAACGAGCGCAACCCUUGUUCUGUGUUGCCAGCAUGCCCUUCGGGGUGAUGGGGACUCACAGGAGACCGCCGGGGUCAACUCGGAGGAAGGUGGGGACGACGUCAAGUCAUCAUGCCCCUUAUGUCUUGGGCUGCACACGUGCUACAAUGGCCGAUACAAUGAGCUGCGAUACCGCAAGGUGGAGCGAAUCUCAAAAAGUCGGUCUCAGUUCGGAUUGGGGUCUGCAACUCGACCCCAUGAAGUUGGAGUUGCUAGUAAUCGCAGAUCAGCAUUGCUGCGGUGAAUACGUUCCCGGGCCUUGUACACACCGCCCGUCACGUCACGAAAGUCGGUAACACC
This 1098-nucleotide ribosomal RNA is filed under the name Streptomyces sp. RNAcentral describes it as "bacterial SSU rRNA". It matches the Rfam family "Bacterial small subunit ribosomal RNA", at positions 319 to 1421 of the family's 1533-position model. Lineage: Bacteria; Bacillati; Actinomycetota; Actinomycetes; Kitasatosporales; Streptomycetaceae. The record is from RNAcentral.